This 86-nucleotide transfer RNA is filed under the name Anaerolineae bacterium. RNAcentral's name for it is "tRNA-OTHER". It matches the Rfam family "tRNA". From Rfam's summary of the family: Transfer RNA (tRNA) molecules are approximately 80 nucleotides in length. Their secondary structure includes four short double-helical elements and three loops (D, anti-codon, and T loops). Lineage: Bacteria; Bacillati; Chloroflexota; Anaerolineae. The record is from RNAcentral.
GCCGCCGUAGCUCAGCUGGCUAGAGCGACGGUCUUGUAACUUAGCAGGAAAACCGUAGGUCAAGGGUUCGAAUCCCUUCGGCGGCU